GGGGCUGAUUCUGGAUUCGACGGGAUUUGCGAAACCCAAGGUGCAUGCCGAGGGGCGGUUGGCCUCGUAAAAAGCCGCAAAAAAAUAGUCGCAAAAGACGAAAACUACGCUUUAGCAGCUUAAUAACCUGCUUAGAGCCCUCUCUCCCUAGCCUCCGCUCUUAGGACGGGGAUCAAGAGAGGUCAAACCCAAAAGAGAUCGCGUGGAUGCCCUGCCUGGGGUUGAAGCGUUAAAACGAAUCAGGCUAGUCUGGUAGUGGCGUGUCCGUCCGCAGGUGCCAGGCGAAUGUAAAGACAGACUAAGCAUGUAGUACCGAGGAUGUAGGAAUUUCGGACGCGGGUUCAACUCCCGCCAGCUCCACCA
This 363-nucleotide transfer-messenger RNA is filed under the name Salmonella enterica subsp. salamae. It matches the Rfam family "transfer-messenger RNA". Rfam says of the family: Bacterial tmRNA, also known as 10Sa RNA or SsrA, is named for its dual tRNA and mRNA-like properties. Its role is to liberate the mRNA from a stalled ribosome. The record is from RNAcentral. Lineage: Bacteria; Pseudomonadati; Pseudomonadota; Gammaproteobacteria; Enterobacterales; Enterobacteriaceae.